UCAACACGUAUAAAACACACGCUGUCUUUCUUCGACAAUUUUGUACUGAGUUUUAAGGACAAAAGUACAAAUUAAAUGUGAUGGCUAGCCACAGAGAGAUACGCCAUUGUCCAACGUUACCUCUCCAAAAGUAGAAAGCUUGAUCCAUGACAGGCUAGCCGCAGACACACCAUUGUCAGAUGAAGUCUGCCUCUCCAGAAGUAGAUGCAUGAUGGGAGUGAAGCCCAGCUUAGAAUUUGAUGAUGUCGUCUCCAACAGGAGCUCCAGUAACGCCAUUGUCAGAUAAAGUUUACCUCUCAAGAAGUAUGAUGCACGAUGGGAAUACAGCCCAACUUCAAGAUUCAGUGAUGUCUUCUCCAUCAACAGUGUUCAGUAACUUGUGGUGUUGGUAUCAAAGUCCGAACCAUUACAUGUCUGAGACAUCAACCUGAUGGCAGCUCACCAUUGGUGGAGUUUAGACUGUGUCCUCAAUCAAGUCAACCAUCACAUACAGAGUUCUGCCAACAAAAGCAAUGUACAGGCUAGCUGUAGACACACCAUUGUCAGAUGAAGUCUACCUCUCCAGAGGUAGAUGCAUGAUGGGAAUACAGCCCAGCUUUAAGAAACAACGAUGUCUUCUCCAUCAAUAGCCUAGCCGCAGACACACCAUUGUCAGAUGAAGUCUUCCUCUCCAGAAGUAGAUGCAAGAUUGGAAUGCAGCAAAGCUCAGGAUUCAAUGAUGUUGUCUCCAACCCAAGGUACAGAAAGGGUUGUCAUCUCCACAAAGAUUUACUCAUCAACCAAGAAGAUGUCUGAGACCUGCAGUUGAUGAUCUUCCUAACAGCGUACAAUGAUCCUGGAAAAGGAACUGCUCUCUCCUUUAUAAAGGAUGAUGCCUACCUGUCACACAGAUUUCCGAGACCUGCAACUGCGUAUAGUCAGCCCACUGUCUACACAUCACCAGUUAACAUGUGUGAGGGUUACGCAAGAGGAAGGUAAAAUCCCUGUGGUUGUUUUACACUAACAUCAAAGGGUGGUCUGUUUUUGCAGUACUCAUUCCAACACAAUAUCUCAUCACAUGCCACAACAUUUUUGGGGAUGAAUGCUGGCAUCAUCCUAACCCAAAAUGCGAGGUCUGUCCCUACAGAUUGAUUACAGAUUUAAAAGAUAGGAAACAUGUUUUUGAUUAACAAAACCCCUUUUACUGUACAGAAAUACAAUUUUAAAUAAAUAAAAAGCUUUUUAGUAUGAACCAUUGAUAUUCUUUCUUAAAACCAUCGGUAAACAGUAUUGUCCAAAGGCUCACACUUUGUGUAUCACACCUUAUAUAUA
Molecule: long non-coding RNA, 1311 nt
Organism: Asterias rubens (European starfish)
Lineage: Eukaryota; Metazoa; Echinodermata; Asteroidea; Forcipulatida; Asteriidae
Exons: 9
Source: RefSeq, a predicted model, not a curated record